This is a long non-coding RNA of Homarus americanus (American lobster), 927 nucleotides long. RefSeq lists it as uncharacterized. NCBI's taxonomy places the organism in Eukaryota, Metazoa, Arthropoda, Malacostraca, Decapoda, Nephropidae. The record is from RefSeq and is a predicted model, not a curated record. The transcript is spliced from 3 exons.
UUAAUGUAUGUAUCACUGUUAACAUUGAGGUGUGAGGCAUUAAUGUAUGUAUCACUUAACAUUGAGAGUGAGGCAUUAAUGUAUGUAUCUGUUAACAUUGAGGUGUGAGGCAUUAAUGUAUGUAUCACUGUUGCUAACAUUGAGGUGUGAGGCAUUAAUGUAUGUAUCACUGUUGUUAACAUUGAGGUGUGAGGCAUUAAUGUAUGUAUCACUGUUAACAUUGAGGUGUGAGGCAUUAAUGUAUGUAUCUGUUAAUAAUUAGGUGUGACACAUUAAUGUAUGUAUCACUGUUGUUAAAAUUGAGGUGUGAGGCAUUAAUGUAUGUAUCACUGUUGUUAACAUUGAGGUGCGAGGCAUUAAUGUACAGUGUGUAUCACUGUUGUUAACAUUCAGGUGUGAGGCAUUAAUGUAUGUAUCACUGUUAUCAUUUGGUGUGAGGCAUUACUGUAUGUAUCACUGCUGUUAACAUUGACGUGUGAAGCAUUAAUGUAUGUAUCUGUUUUGGAGUGUGAGGCAUUAAUGUAUGUAUCUGUUAACAUUGAGGUGUGAGGCAUUAAUGUAUGUAUCACUGUUGUUAACAUUGAGGUGUGAGGCAUUAAUGUAUGUAUCUGUUAACAUUGAUGUGUGAGGCAGUAAUGUAUGUAUCACUGUUGUUAAGAUUGAGGUGUGAGGCAUUAAUGUAUGUAUCACUGUUGUUAACAUUGAGGUGUGAGGCAUUAAUGUAUGUAUCACUGUUGUUAACAUUGAGGUGUGAGGCAUUAAUGUAAGUAUCUGUUAACAUUGAGGUGCGAGGCAUUAAUGUAUGUAUCACUGUUGUUAACAUUGAUGUGUGAGGCAUUAAUGUAUGUAUCACUGUUGUUAACAUUGAGGUGUGAGGCAUUAAUGUAUGUAUCACUGUUGUUAACAUUGAGGUGUGAGGCAUUAAUG